RNAcentral lists this transfer RNA (72 nucleotides) under Nippostrongylus brasiliensis. It matches the Rfam family "tRNA". From Rfam's summary of the family: Transfer RNA (tRNA) molecules are approximately 80 nucleotides in length. Lineage: Eukaryota; Metazoa; Nematoda; Chromadorea; Rhabditida; Heligmosomidae. The record is from Rfam by way of RNAcentral.
ACAUCGUUAGCACAGCGGCCAAUGCAGUCUGCCGGAAACAGAAAGACGCGGGUUCAAUUCCCGUCCGAUGUC